NCCCGCCUCAACAUGGACCCUGAAAAUAAGGUAUUCCGUGAAUAAGAGGACGCAAAAGAACGUUCAACCGUCAAGGUGAAACUAAACUCUUCCCACCACCGUGGGAACCUGCCGCGUCAGAAUCGAAGGUAAGUGACGCAUCCGAAAUGGGACAAGAAUUAAGUCAACAUCAAAUCUAUGUAGGACAAUUAAAAGAGGCUUUAAAGAUACGAGGAGUAAAGGUUAAAGUAAUGAUUUGUUUAAAUUUUUUGAUUUUGUAAAAGACACUUGCCCUU
Regulatory RNA element from Chlorocebus sabaeus (green monkey), 275 nucleotides. It matches the Rfam family "Mason-Pfizer monkey virus packaging signal". From Rfam's summary of the family: The packaging signal is located in the 5' UTR and is required for specific RNA encapsidation. The record is from Rfam. NCBI's taxonomy places the organism in Eukaryota, Metazoa, Chordata, Mammalia, Primates, Cercopithecidae.